Molecule: transfer RNA, 72 nt
Filed under: marine sediment metagenome
Description: tRNA-Ile
Rfam family: tRNA
About the family: Transfer RNA (tRNA) molecules are approximately 80 nucleotides in length. Their secondary structure includes four short double-helical elements and three loops (D, anti-codon, and T loops).
Source: RNAcentral
GUGCCUGUAAGCCAAUGGUUAGACUACCGAACUGAUAUUUCGGCAACGGAGGUUCGAUUCCUCUCAGGCACA